Molecule: ribosomal RNA, 710 nt
Filed under: uncultured bacterium
Lineage: Bacteria
Description: bacterial SSU rRNA
Rfam family: Bacterial small subunit ribosomal RNA
Source: RNAcentral
CAGUCGACGCUUCUUUCCUCCCGAGUGCUUGCACUCAAUUGGAAAGAGGAGUGGCGAACGGGUGAGUAACACGUGGGUAACCUGCCCAUCAGAAGGGGAUAACACUUGGAAACAGGUGCUAAUACCGUAUAACAAUCGAAACCGCAUGGUUUUGAUUUGAAAGGCGCUUUCGGGUGUCGCUGAUGGAUGGACCCGCGGUGCAUUAGCUAGUUGGUGAGGUAACGGCUCACCAAGGCCACGAUGCAUAGCCGACCUGAGAGGGUGAUCGGCCACAUUGGGACUGAGACACGGCCCAAACUCCUACGGGAGGCAGCAGUAGGGAAUCUUCGGCAAUGGACGAAAGUCUGACCGAGCAACGCCGCGUGAGUGAAGAAGGUUUUCGGAUCGUAAAACUCUGUUGUUAGAGAAGAACAAGGAUGAGAGUAACUGUUCAUCCCUUGACGGUAUCUAACCAGAAAGCCACGGCUAACUACGUGCCAGCAGCCGCGGUAAUACGUAGGUGGCAAGCGUUGUCCGGAUUUAUUGGGCGUAAAGCGAGCGCAGGCGGUUUCUUAAGUCUGAUGUGAAAGCCCCCGGCUCAACCGGGGAGGGUCAUUGGAAACUGGGAGACUUGAGUGCAGAAGAGGAGAGUGGAAUUCCAUGUGUAGCGGUGAAAUGCGUAGAUAUAUGGAGGACACCAGUGGCGAAGCGGCUCUCUGGUCUGUACUGAC